This 399-nucleotide ribosomal RNA is filed under the name uncultured bacterium. Its description in RNAcentral is "partial 16S ribosomal RNA". It matches the Rfam family "Bacterial small subunit ribosomal RNA", at positions 338 to 754 of the family's 1533-position model. The record is from RNAcentral.
CCUACGGGAGACUGCAGUGGGGAAUAUUGCACAAUGGGGGAAACCCUGAUGCAGCGACGCCGCGUGAGUGAAGAAGGAUUUCGGGAUGUAAAGCUCUAUCAGCAGGGAAGAAAAUGACGGUACGUGAGUAAGAAGCCCCGGCUAACUACGUGCCAGCAGCCGCGGUAAUACGUAGGGGGCAAGCGUUAUCCGGAUUUACUGGGUGUAAAGGGAGCGUAGACGGCAGCACAAGGCUGGAGUGAAAUGCCGGGGCUUAACCCCGGAACUGCUUUCGAAACUGUGCAGCUAGAGUGCAGGAGAGGUUACUGGAAUUCCUCUUGUAGCGGUGAAAUGCGUCGAUAUUAUGCGGAACCCCAGUCGCGAAGGCGGCUUACUGGACUGUAACUGCCGUUGAGGCUC